Molecule: ribosomal RNA, 709 nt
Filed under: Candidatus Poseidoniales archaeon
Lineage: Archaea; Methanobacteriati; Thermoplasmatota; Candidatus Poseidoniia; Candidatus Poseidoniales
Also listed under: 1 other name
Description: bacterial SSU rRNA
Rfam family: Archaeal small subunit ribosomal RNA
Source: RNAcentral
AAAUCCGGUUGAUCCUGCCGGAGGCGACCGCUAUUGGAGUUCGAUUAAGCCAUGCGAGUCUAGAGGCAAUAGCCUCGGCGUACCGCUCAGUAACACGUGGAUAACCUGCCCUGUUCAGGGGGAUAACCUCGCGAAAGUGAGAAUAAUACCCCAUAGUUCACCAUGCCUGGAACGGUUGGUGGAUCAAAGCUCAGGCGGAACAGGAUGGGUCUGCGGCGUAUCAGGUUGUAGGGGGUGUAAUGGACCUCCUAGCCAUCGACGCGUACGGGUUGUGGGAGCAAUCGCCCGGAGAUGGAUUCUGAGACACGAAUCCAGACCCUACGGGGUGCAGCAGGCGCGAAAACUUGACAAUGCGAGAAAUCGUGAUCAGGGAACUCCAAGUGGACCAGUUAUUACUGGUUUCUGAACUGACUCUAAACAGGUCGGGUAAUAGGGGCGGGAAAUAUCGGUGCCAGCCGCCGCGGUAAUACCGAAGCCCCAAGUGGUCGUCGAUCUUAUUGGGCCUAAAACGUCCGUAGCCGGUUUGGUACAUUCGUGGGUAAAUCAAACAGCUUAACUGUUUGAAUUCUGCGAGGACGGCCAAACUUGAGACCGGGAGAGGUGUAGGGUACCUGCGGGGUAGGGGUAAAAUCCUGUCAUCCCGUAGGGACCACCAGUUGCGAAGGCUCUACACUAGAACGGAUCUGACGGUCAGGGACGAAGCCUAGGG